This 253-nucleotide ribosomal RNA is filed under the name uncultured bacterium. Its description in RNAcentral is "partial 16S ribosomal RNA". It matches the Rfam family "Bacterial small subunit ribosomal RNA", at positions 524 to 776 of the family's 1533-position model. The record is from RNAcentral.
UACGGGGGGGGCUAGCGUUGUUCGGAAUUACUGGGCGUAAAGCGUGCGCAGGCGGCUUUGCAAGACAGAUGUGAAAUCCCCGGGCUUAACCUGGGAACUGCAUUUGUGACUGCAUGGCUGGAGUGCGGCAGAGGGGGAUGGAAUUCCGCGUGUAGCAGUGAAAUGCGUAGAUAUGCGGAGGAACACCGAUGGCGAAGGCAAUCCCCUGGGCCUGCACUGACGCUCAUGCACGAAAGCGUGGGGAGCAAACAGG